AAAGAUGGUAGAUUUAUACUGUUUAUGUUCAACGUUUGACCAUCCGUCUCAUUUAAAAAAAUUAUGAUUAGUAUUUUUAUUAUUAUUAGAUGAUAAAACAUGCAUAGUACUUUAUGUGUGACUAAUUUUUUAAAAAUUUUUCACAAAUUUUCCAAAUAAGACAAACGGUCAAACGUUGGAUACGGAAACCCACAACUGCACUUAAA
Oryza punctata is the source of this 206-nucleotide non-coding RNA. The record is from Rfam. Lineage: Eukaryota; Viridiplantae; Streptophyta; Magnoliopsida; Poales; Poaceae.